UCUCCUGGAAACGGGUGGUAAUGCCGGAUGCUCCAGUUGACCGCAUGGUCCUCUGGGAAAGCUUUUGCGGUAUGGGAUGGGGUCGCGUCCUAUCAGCUUGAUGGCGGGGUAACGGCCCACCAUGGCUUCGACGGGUAGCCGGCCUGAGAGGGCGACCGGCCACAUUGGGACUGAGAUACGGCCCAGACUCCUACGGGAGGCAGCAGUGGGGAAUAUUGCACAAUGGGCGCAAGCCUGAUGCAGCGACGCCGCGUGCGGGAUGACGGCCUUCGGGUUGUAAACCGCUUUUGACUGGGAGCAAGCCCUUCGGGGUGAGUGUACCUUUCGAAUAAGCACCGGCUAACUACGUGCCAGCAGCCGCGGUAAUACGUAGGGUGCAAGCGUUAUCCGGAAUUAUUGGGCGUAAAGGGCUCGUAGGCGGUUCGUCGCGUCCGGUGUGAAAGUCCAUCGCUUAACGGUGGAUCCGCGCCGGGUACGGGCGGGCUUGAGUGCGGUAGGGGAGACUGGAAUUCCCGGUGUAACGGUGGAAUGUGUAGAUAUCGGGAAGAACACC
This 553-nucleotide ribosomal RNA is filed under the name Bifidobacterium adolescentis. Its description in RNAcentral is "partial 16S ribosomal RNA". It matches the Rfam family "Bacterial small subunit ribosomal RNA", at positions 146 to 710 of the family's 1533-position model. Lineage: Bacteria; Bacillati; Actinomycetota; Actinomycetes; Bifidobacteriales; Bifidobacteriaceae. The record is from RNAcentral.